CUCUUAACCAUUCUAUAGAAUCAGCACCCAUCUUUGAGUCAGAGUUUGAGAUGCAAAUCCUUUACUGUAUAGCCUUGAUCAAAUGACUUCACCUCAUUGAAUUAAUCUUCUUCUGCAUAAAAUGGGGUCACCAUCUGCUUAUCUAAAUUGUUACAAAUGGGACAGUAUAUGUGCCAUUCCAGAUACCUAAUCACAGCUCAAUCGAUGCUGGUGUCUUUUUCCUUUUUCCUUCUGCAGAAAACAUGCUUUACAUAGGAUCUCUGAACUUAAAGAAUGGGAAGAAGAAAAAUCAUGUUUCCAGCUUGGGCUGCUGUUUCAUCUGUUGGACUUGCUUGUGAGCUAAGCCAAGUUUCAUUAAAAAU
Molecule: long non-coding RNA, 362 nt
Filed under: Pan troglodytes (chimpanzee)
Lineage: Eukaryota; Metazoa; Chordata; Mammalia; Primates; Hominidae
Description: long non-coding RNA NONPTRT006038
Source: RNAcentral